CCAUAUUUAUUUUUCUUUACAAAAGUUGCUCUUGGAUCGGAGCAUGCUAUAAUUAAUUAAUUAAUAAGCUUUCAGUGUUGUAAAUUUCAUUAGACAUUGAAUAUCAUAUAGGAUCAAUACAACAAUCAAUACAGUAACGUUACGAAUGAAUCCAAAUUACAUUUAGUGUAUAUAAUAAAAUACCAACUCUAUUUUCAUAUUUUUUAUAUAUUAAGUAUACAGUAAGAUAUUAAUAAUUAAACAAAUUAAAUAAAAUUUGUUCUUUUUUUUUUUUUUGGUUAUAAUUUAUAAGCAGUGACUAAGUUCUUCAAAACCAGAGGCUCUUCCUCCAGCAUUAACACAUGAAGCAUCAGCUCGACCAUCUUUUUAUUUUUAUCUUCAAAAAUUUAAUUUUGUGUAUCUAUUUUCACUUGUGAGAGAAAUCGAAAUUUAUAGCUAUUUCUCAAUAACGAAAAAUUGCUUCCCUCAAAUCUAAAAAGAAAAAUGCUCUUAACAUUCUGGAAGCUUAGUCAAGUAAGUUCUAAUUUUUAAAAUAAGAUUUUUUUUAAUUAAAAAAAGCAUUUUUUAAUUUACUAAAAACUUUGACGAAACAAUUAUUAAUUUAAUUGGUUAAUUCUAAAGCUAAAUGUUUUUUCCCCCCUAUAAUUGUGUAAGCAUGUCGUGCCCAUGUACCACUAUAAAAUAGGGCUAUAUGCUUAAAAAAGUUAAUUAACUGAAUAAAGUAUAUAAAACUGUUUUAUGAGUAAAAAUAAAAACUUUUUCUUUUCUUCUCUUGCUUUAAGAAAUUUAUGUUUAAUCUUUUAUAACCAAUUUUCAGUUUUUUUUCACCACAAAAUGCUUAUUUUAUUGUAUUUUUUAAGUAUUGUUCCGUCUCAAAUUAUUUAUCGUAUUAUUUUAUUACAUGUCCUUUUAAAACUAUUAGUUAGGAUGGAUUUUAUUGACUGUUUUACCACUAUUUAUGUUUUAGAUAUUCAUUCUUCAUUAAAUAUUUAAUUCUGUGUUUCAUAUUACUUGAAUACCGUUGACUUAACACAUUAAGAAAGCAUUUCAUAGAUGUAUAUUUUACUAAAUUAACCUUAUUUAUGAUGCUUAGAACUCUAAAAUUCUCUUGAUCUACUAAAAUGAAUAAGUAAAAUGAAAUGGGGGAGUAUUUUAUUGAAGUAUAUGUAUUUUUCAAGAACAAUUACUGCUGAGAAUAAAAUGAGAAACAUGAUUAAUUUUGUCAUAAACUUCUAAAAUAAUAAAUAAUUUGAUACAAACUAUUUUCAGUUUUCACAAAUUGCGACAAAUAAUUUGAGACGGAGGAAAUAGUUUAUUUCUGUUAAAUAAACCGAAAGAGAAAAAGAAAAACAGCUCAAACAUAUUAUAUGCCAAAUUAUAAAUGACUUGCAAUCUACUUAAUUAGCUCAAAUUGCUUAUUACUUUAACUUCUUGCUAAAAAAACUUUUAGUUUGUACUAAUUACUUUUUUUCCUUUUUAGUCUAAACUCUUUAACAUGUGACCAAAGAUUUGUUAAUUGCAUCUCUUUUUUCUAGAAAAAAAAUCAUUUUUUUUAAAGUAAGUUACAAAAAAAAAAAAAAAAACAGUUUUCUUGCUUUUCGUUCCACAAAAACAUCACUUUUUAUGAAGUGGAAAACUGAAAAGUCAUAAAAAAAAAUAAAAAUAAAUUAAAGCUCACCUUAUAAAUAUACCUCAACUUAGAAACUGCUAAACCAUAUUACUCAUCAUCUCAACUCUUAAUCUUCUCUGAUUAUUUUUUUCUAAUCUUAAAUUUUAUAAGUUUCAUAUUUCAUCAAGAAACAUGAAAAUUAACAACCCCUUAUCAUCAUUUUUCCUAAUUUUAUUUUUUUCAAUUCUUUUCGAUUUAUGCAUAGCUAAUGAUGUUAUGUUACACAAUGUUGUAAACUUUGGUGCAAAACCAAAUGGCAAAAUUGACUCAUCAAAUGCAUUUUUAACUGCAUGGGAUUUAGCUUGUGGCUCUACAAAACCAUCUACAAUUUAUGUACCAAGAGGGAAUUUUUUAGUUAAACAAGUACAUUUUAGAGGAAAAUGUAAUAAUAGUGAGAUUAUUUUUCGUAUCGAUGGGACUCUCGUAGCGCCUUUCGAUUAUAAUGUGAUUGGAAAUGAGAAAAAUUGGAUUUUUUUUCAAGGUGUUGAUGGAGUUUCUAUUGUUGGCGGUAGUCUUGAUGGUCAAGGAUCUGGUUUAUGGACUUGCAAAGCCUCCGAAAAGAACUGCCCAAGUGGUGCCACGGUAUGUGUUAAGUUAUAUACAUUGACAGUAUAGUAUAGUAUGACGAAUGUAAUAACUAUUUUAUGAAACUCUUACAUGUUUGAUAGUGUAAUUUAUAGUAUACAUUUAGCAAGAACCAUUCCAGUGGGCCCAUGAUUCGUAUUAUAAGAGGAGUUAAAUUAACUUCUAUAUACUGACAGUAUAAAUAGCGUAACUUCUUUGCUCUCUAGCAAGAACUGCCCGAGUGGUGUCACAUUACGUAUUUGUGAAAAGAAUUUAAUUUAUAUACAUUGACGUUAUAAAGAAAUGCAACUUUUUUAUUAUGUUGUAGCUUGAUAGUGCAACUUAAUAUAGACAUUACUCCAAAUUUCUUUCCUCUUUAGCAAGAACUGUCUAAGUGGGGUAUGAGAGUUUAACUUAUUUACACUGACAAUAUAAAAAACCUAUGUUGUAGCGAGUAGCGUGCUUUAUUAUUAUUCAGGUUUAUGUACUGAUCUCACAUUUUUUUUUGAAUGAAGCGUUACGUAUUAGUUAUCUUUUAGAUAAUCUGAUAGCGUGACACAGGAAUGAUAACUAUUAGUUGUGCUGGUAAUUUGGAAAGGCAAGUUCAAAACACUGUUCAUUUCUCAAAAUUAGCAGUUUUUUUCUUUAUGUAUGUAACGUUUCCUUGAAGUAAGGAUAAAUGUGUUACUUUAUGUGAUUAACUGUCAAAGCAUUUUCUAUCAUGGUAUUUAUGGUUAAUUAAUUUUUUCAAAGGCAGUAUUAACUUCUUUAUUGGAAAUUAGCUUUGACCUUAAUUAGACCAUAAAAGUUUUCAUGACCCUUGUGUUCCGGCUCUUUCGUGGACCCGACACACAUAGAGGGAGCUUAGUGCACCGGAUUGCUUGUUACUGAUGUUUUCCUGCAUUUGACCUUGUGUUCCGGCUCUUUCGUGGACCCCACACAUCGCAGGAGCUUAGUGCACCGGACUGCUGUUACUGAUGUUUUCCUGCAUUUGACCUUGUGUUCCGGCACUUCCGUGGACCCCACACAUCGCGGGAGCUUAGUGCACCGGACUGCCCGAUACUGAUGUUUUCUUGCUAUUUGACCCUUGUGUUCCGGAUCUUCUGUGGACCCCACACAUCGUGGGAGCUUAGUGCACCGGCCUGCCUUUCUUGACUCUUGUGUUCCGUCUCUUCCGUGGACCCCACACAUAGCAAGAGCUUAGUGCACCGGACUGCCUUUCUUGACUCUUGUGUUCCGUCUGUUCCGUGGACCCCACACAUAGCGGGAGCUUAGUAUACCGGACUGACUGUUACUGAUGUUUUCUUUCUAUUUGCAGACUUUGGGAUUUUCCAACUCUAACAAUGUAGCGAUAACGGGGCUAACUUCAUUGAACAGUCAAAUGUUUCACAUUGUCAUCAAUGGGUGCAAAAAUGUGAAGUUGCAGGAUGUCAAGGUUUAUGCACCGGGAAAAAGCCCGAAUACUGAUGGCAUUCACGUUCAAUUAUCAUCAGACAUCUCAAUCUUGGACUCGAUAAUCAGUACUGGAGAUGAUUGUGUAUCCAUCGGUCCAGGAACUAGUAAUUUGUGGAUCCAGAAUAUCGCUUGUGGCCCUGGCCACGGAAUCAGGUAAGAAAUUUUGCGCUGUCAUGUCAUACAGAUGAUAUCUAUAGGUAAAAUGUAGGAUAUGCAUGUAGUCUUGAAAAUAAGAAAUGUAAUGUACUGCAACAGGUAAAUGUGACGUGAUGGUGGGAAAAUUCUUCAAACUGACAAUGUAUAUAACUUAAAGCCGGUCUAAAUUUCAAUGUAUAUAUGCAGCAUUGGGAGUUUAGGUAAGGAUUUCGAAGAAGCAGGUGUGCGGAAUGUGACAGUAAGAUCAGUUAUAUUCAAGGACACACAAAAUGGUGUGAGGAUCAAAACAUGGGGUAGACCAAGUACUGGUUUUGUCAACAAUGUACUUUUCCAACACGUUACGAUGAUUGAUGUUGAAAAUCCAAUUGUUAUCGAUCAAAAUUACUGCCCGAAUAACAAAAAUUGUCCGGGACAGGUCUCUGGUGUGAAAGUAAGUGAUGUUACAUAUCAAGACAUACAUGGAAGUUCAGCAACACGAGUCGCGAUGAAAUUUGAUUGCAGUAAGAGAAAUCCAUGCAGAGGAAUAAAACUGGAAGACGUAAAUAUUACAUAUAAGAAUGAACCAGCUGCUCAAGCUUCUUGUGCUAAUGUUGCAGGUACAACUACUGGUAUAAUUCAACCUACUAGUUGUUUGUAAGGACAAAUUGCAGAACAUUGUUAUUUUUACAUUGUCGAAACUAGAAGUUCUUGCUUGAGCCUUUGGCGCGAUUUGAAUCGCCCAUUCAAAAAAAUUGUUUAGCUAGCUUUGUCAUUUUACUUUCUUGAAAUUAGUACUGUUUGCUUGAGCCUAUGGCGCGAUUUGAAUCGCCUGGUCUAGCAACACAUAGGAGAAGUUGUUUUCUCAUCAUUGAUCUUAAUUGAACAUUUUUCUACUUUGGUCUAUCAGAAAUGUCAAUUACAUGUUAUAAUCGUCACACACCUAUCAAGCAUAUAAGUUCAAUAGUCGCGUUUCAGCUCAAUGAAGCUAAGCUCAAUCGCGUAACAAACUUCUCUGGCUUUAGUAUCUGUUAAACAAGAAGUUGAAUCAGUACAUUACACAGACAUGAGUUGAACUAAUAGACAAUUUCAUUACAUGCUUUAAUUGUCACAUCUAGUCUAAACUAAAUAGUCAAUAUUUCAUAUUUGAACUCCUUUAUAUCCUACUACAUAGUCUAAACUAAAAUCAGAAGUCGCGUUUUUCAGCUCCUUGAAGCUAAGCUCAUUUGUGUAACAAACUUCUCCGGCUUUAGUAUCUGUUAAACAGCGAGUUGAAUCAAUAGAACAUACACGGAACAGACCAGACCAGAACGUUGAGAAGGUUAUUGCUAUCACAUUAGUUCGUUGUUAUUUAGAAUUAACUGUUGCAUUUUUCAGCUCCUUGAAGACAAGCUCAACCGUGUAGCAAACUUCUCCGGCUUUAGUAUCUGUUAAACAGCAAGUUGAAUCAAUAUAACAUACUCGGAACAGAACAGAAUAUUGACAAAGUUAUCGCUAUCACAUUAGUUCAUCGUUUUAUAGAGUUUAUACGCGGAUCUUCUAGGACUAACCACAAAGUAGAGUUACAGCAGAAAAUGUAACUUAACAAUACAGAGGAAAAUCUGAUAAUUUAGCAUGAUUUUCAAUGUCAUACACCAACAAAAAUCAAUAGAACAACCAGUAUAUAUAAUACUACAUUAUACAAAAGAAUUCAAAAUACACUUUAUAAGUUGGAGCCUGACUAGGCCAGCCUCCAAACAAGUAACAGAACCAAUAAAAAAUGCAGUUAUCUAUUUUUUUCUUCUAUAUUCGUAUAGACUAUAGAGUGUAUGUAUUUCUUCAUUAUAUUCUGUAUAUUUGAUCUUAUUUUAUAAGCAGUGACUAAGUUCUUCAAAACCAGAAGCUCUUCCUCCAGCAUUAACACAUGAAGCAUCAGCUCGACCAUCUUUGUAACUAAGAUUCACAUCAUCAAGUGUUAUUCCAGUACAUGGAUUCGUUUUGCUACAAUUUAACUUCACUGCAACUUCUGUAGACGAUGUUCCAUGUAUGUCUUGAUAUGUUACAUCACU
RNAcentral lists this long non-coding RNA (5868 nucleotides) under Capsicum annuum. RNAcentral describes it as "long non-coding RNA (CANN_LNC018377)". Lineage: Eukaryota; Viridiplantae; Streptophyta; Magnoliopsida; Solanales; Solanaceae. The record is from RNAcentral.